RNAcentral lists this long non-coding RNA (1111 nucleotides) under Gopherus agassizii (Agassiz's desert tortoise). RNAcentral describes it as "lncRNA (ENSGAGG00000003213.1)". Lineage: Eukaryota; Metazoa; Chordata; Testudines; Testudinidae. The record is from RNAcentral.
UUCUCUGAGUAUGACAGAGUGCAACUUGCUGGUCCUCCACUUCUGCUUCCUUUUACUGCUGAUCUUUCUGUGGCGUGUGUGUGAGAGAGUGUGUGCCCGUGUGUGCCACGGAUGGGGGCUGGCCAGGAAGAAAGAGGGUGAGAUGGGACAGGCCAGUGCAAACUACUGGAAGACAGCUCGGCGAAAACAACAACCCACAAAAACCACUGGAAGAAAGGAAGGGUCUCAGCCUGAAAAGAUAGCCCCCUGGACUGCUUUGGCUGAAAGGUGAGGCCCCAAAGAGUGUGUGCACUCCUUGUCACACUCCAUCUCCUCCCCUAUCUGGCUCUAGCUCUAAGAAAGUCCAUGGGUGAGAUUUGCUAAGCCCACGGCUGCUCUACUUCUGCUUUGUCAAUAGUGGCCAGGACGAGCUGCCCACACGCCAAGGAGAUCUGUUUGCACAGAUAUGCUGCGAUCACUCUCUUGUAAAGCUGCAGAAGCCAAAGUCUAUUUAAAACAUCAAGCCCUAGGAGCCGAGUGACAGCCAGGUUCCCACGGAGGAAGCCGGUCAGUGAGCAGCGUCUCGGCAGGCACCAGCUUUGGCACAGGAGGACUAGAGUGCUGGGAAGGGAGAGCUCAGCAUUAUGGCAUCUGCCUCUCCUUGGCCAAGUCUCCCUCUCCCUCUAGUCGACAUUCCCGCCAAGACCCAGCAGUGUUGGUCUUCUUUUUAGCCUGGCAGUUCUCUCUGUCACUGAAGUGGGGAUUUGGAAGGCUGCAAAGAUGAGAUGUGAGAGGCAGCUGUCUCUAAGCGCUGCUCCUUUCUCCCCCUCUUCCACCCCAUAAAGGCCGCUUGGUUGGGAAAUUGCAGGAGGUUAGAGAGGACUUCGCAAAAUACAGGGUUUCAAAGCAAGAUGGGCCUGUUUGUUCUUCAUGACAGUUACCCCCAGCAUUACCCAGGAUGCACUGCAGCAGCCAAGGCACCUAUUGGUCCUUAGCAUUAGUGGUGGUUGUUUGCCAUGUCUGGAAUUGCCAGUGUUGCUAGCAUCCUUUGUCUGCAGCUGGGCCCAGCCCUCUACCCCCCUGUCUCUUACUCGUUUGCCUCCAUUUUGUUCUAGGAUGCUGUCAGUGGACU